AAGCGCAAAAGGGGAAUCCGACUGUUUAAUUAAAACAAAGCAUUGUGAUGGCAUUUGCAUGUGCUGAUGCAUUGUGAUUUCUGCCCAGUGCUCUAAAUGUCAAAGUGAUGAAAUUCAAACAAGCGCGGGUAAACGGCGGGAGUAACUAUGACUCUCUUAAGGUAGCCAAAUGCCUCGUCAUCUAAUUAGUGACGCGCAUGAAUGGAUUAACGAGAUUCCCACUGUCCUUACUUUCAAUUUAGCGAAACCACAGCCAAGGGAACGGGCUUGGGUUAAUCAGCGGGGAAAGAAGACCCUGUUGAGCUUGACUCUAGUCUGAUAUUGUGAAAUGACUCAGGAGGUGUAGAAUAAGUGGGAGUAUCCUUGCAAUCAUGAAAUACCACUACUCUUGAUGUUAUUUUACUUAUUCUGUGAAGCUUGUCCUUGCACUUGCCUGUUGUUGUUUAUAAGCCAUUAUGUAUUGGUGUACUUGUGUGGAAUACUGCGUCAGGUUGGGAGUUUGGCUGGGGCGGCACAUCUGUUAAAUGAUAACGCAGGUGUCCUAAGGUGAGCUCAAUAAGAACAGAAAUCUUAUGUARACUAAAARGGGAAAAGCUUGCUUGAUUUUCMUUUUCAGUGCAAAUACAAACUGUGAAAGCAUGGCCUAUCGAUCCUUUAGAUAUGAAAACUGUUCAGCUAGAGGUGUCAGAAAAGUUACCACAGGGAUAACUG
Molecule: ribosomal RNA, 711 nt
Filed under: Ostreopsis sp. O70421_2
Lineage: Eukaryota; Dinophyceae; Peridiniales; Ostreopsidaceae
Description: eukaryotic LSU rRNA
Rfam family: Eukaryotic large subunit ribosomal RNA
Source: RNAcentral